Molecule: long non-coding RNA, 1591 nt
Filed under: Homo sapiens (human)
Lineage: Eukaryota; Metazoa; Chordata; Mammalia; Primates; Hominidae
Description: HSALNT0037524
Source: RNAcentral
GAAAGGUCACCUAGAGCACAAGGUGCCCACUCAUCCAAGAAGAAGUGCAGAAAAUCAUCUGGUGGGCCUGGGAUAGCUGUGUUGUCGUGCCUGUUCUUACACACCCAGAACAGGAGCAGCAUUUAUAUGGCUUUGUCACAGGAUGUCAGAGUGAAAUGUUGCAGUUGUCUUUUGUGGAGUAAAGAACUACCCCAAAAUGUGGUAGUUGAAAAUGAUGGUGCUGUUUAUUUUGCUCAUGCAUCUGCCAUUUGGGCAGGACUCAGUAGAAACAGCUUAUCUCUCUUCCACUCAGCCCAAAGGCUGGAUAUGAGGGUCCGCAGAAGGCCUUUGUGCCUUGCAGUCAGUGCUGGCUGAUCUUCACCAGACGCCAUUAUGUGGCCUUUCCAUGUUAACUGAGCACCAGGGUGGCGCAACCCUGGAGAGUGAGCCAGGUCUCAUUUUCACAAUCUUGCCUCAGAGGGCAGGCAGUGGCACUUCUUCAGCAUUCUGUUCCUCAAGGCAGUUACAAGAGCACACCCAGAGAAAGGAUCAGAGAAAUAGACUCCACUUUCUGAUGAGUGUGGGCAAGGUUUUAGAAGAAUACACAGGAUCGAAAAUAUUACUGUAGCCUUGCUUUUUGAAAAAUGCUGGGUGGAAGCAGCCAAGAUGGCCGAAUAGGAACAGCUCCCGUCUACAGCUCCCAACGUGAGCGACGCAGAAGACGGGUGAUUUCUGCAUUUCCAUCUGAGGUACCGGGUUCAUCUCACUAGGGAGUGCCAGACAGUGGGCGCAGGACAGUGCGUGCAGCGCACCGUGCGCGAGCUGAAGCAGGGCGAGGCAUUGCCUCCCUCGGGAAGCGCAAGGGGUCAAGGAGUUCCCUUUCCUAGUCAAAGAAGGGGGUGACAAACGGCACCUGGAAAAUUGGGUCACUCCCACCCUAAUACUGCACUUUUCCGACGGGCUUAAAAAACGGCACACCAGGAGAUUAUAUCCUGCACCUAGCUCGGAGGGUCCUACGCCCAUGGAGUCUCGCUGAUUGCUAGCACAGCUGUCUGAGAUCAAACUGCAAGGCGGCAGUGAGGCUGCGGGAGGGGCACCCACCAUUGCCCAGGCUUGCUUAGGUAAACCAAGCAGCCAGGAAGCUCCAACUGGGUGGAGCCCACCACAGCUCAAGGAGGCCUGCCUGCCUCUGUAGGCUCCACCUCUGGGGGCAGGGCACAAACAAACAAAAAGACAGCAGUAACCUCUGCAGACUUAAAUGUCCCUGUCUGACAGCUUUGAAGAGAGCAGUGGUUCUCCCAGCAUGCAGCUGGAGAUCUGAGAACGGGCAGACUGCCUCUUCAAGUGGGUCCCUGACCCCUGAUCCCUGAGCAGCCUAACUGGGAGGGACCCCCCAGUAGGGGCAGACUGACACCUCACACGGCCGGGUACUCCUCUGAGACAAAACUUCCAGACGAACAAUCAGACAGCAGCAUUCGAGGUUCAUGAAAAGCUGCUGUUCUGCAGCCACCGCUGCUGUUACCCAGGCAAACAGGGUCUGGAGUGGACCUCUAGCAAACUCCAACAGACCUGCAGCUGAGGUUCCUGUCUGUUAAAAGGAAAACUAACAAAC